UCCCCAGUGGCUCAGGUGAUAAAGAAUCUGCCUGUAAUGCAGGAGAUCCAGGUUCGAUCCCUGGGUAGGGAA
Ovis aries (sheep) is the source of this 72-nucleotide transfer RNA. It matches the Rfam family "tRNA". Rfam says of the family: Transfer RNA (tRNA) molecules are approximately 80 nucleotides in length. Lineage: Eukaryota; Metazoa; Chordata; Mammalia; Artiodactyla; Bovidae. The record is from Rfam.